Long non-coding RNA from Chelonia mydas (Green sea turtle), 183 nucleotides. RefSeq lists it as uncharacterized. The record is from RefSeq and is a predicted model, not a curated record. NCBI's taxonomy places the organism in Eukaryota, Metazoa, Chordata, Testudines, Cheloniidae. The transcript has 3 exons.
UCUUUUAAGAACCUGAUUGCUUUUUCCUUGCUCUUAAGAUCCAAGGGUUUGGGUCUGUGUUCACCUAUGCAAAUUGGUGAGGAUUUUUAUUAAGCCUUCCCCAGGAAAGGGGGUGUAGGGCUUGGGGGGAUAGUUUGGGGGAAGACGUCGCCAAGUGGGCUCUACCCCUGUUCUUUUUUUAAC